This 423-nucleotide ribosomal RNA is filed under the name uncultured bacterium. RNAcentral's name for it is "bacterial SSU rRNA". It matches the Rfam family "Bacterial small subunit ribosomal RNA", at positions 354 to 776 of the family's 1533-position model. The record is from RNAcentral.
GUGGGGAAUAUUGCACAAUGGGGGAAACCCUGAUGCAGCGACGCCGCGUGAGUGAAGAAGUAUUUCGGUAUGUAAAGCUCUAUCAGCAGGGAAGAAAUAGCGACCUUUGGGUCGCCAGACGGUACCUGAUUAAGAAGCCCCGGCUAACUACGUGCCAGCAGCCGCGGUAAUACGUAGGGGGCAAGCGUUAUCCGGAUUUACUGGGUGUAAAGGGAGCGUAGACGGCAGCGCAAGUCUGAAGUGAAAUGCCGGGGCUUAACCCCGGAACUGCUUUGGAAACUGUGCAGCUAGAGUGCAGGAGAGGUAAGUGGAAUUCCUAGUGUAGCGGUGAAAUGCGUAGAUAUUAGGAGGAACACCAGUGGCGAAGGCGGCUUACUGGACUGUAACUGACGUUGAGGCUCGAAAGCGUGGGGAGCAAACAGG